RNAcentral lists this ribosomal RNA (514 nucleotides) under uncultured earthworm cast bacterium. RNAcentral's name for it is "bacterial SSU rRNA". It matches the Rfam family "Bacterial small subunit ribosomal RNA", at positions 58 to 537 of the family's 1533-position model. The record is from RNAcentral.
CAAGUCGAGCGCAGGAAACCAGAUGACCCCUUCGGGGUGAUUCUGGUGGAAUGAGCGGCGGACGGGUGAGUAACACUUUGGGCAACCUGCCUGUAAGACUGGGAUAACUUCGGGAAACCGGAGCUAAUACCGGAUAGUAUUUCCUUUCUCCUGAUUGGAAAUGGAAAGACGGUUUCGGCUGUCACUUACAGAUGGGCCCGCGGUGCAUUAGCUAGUUGGUGGGGUAAUGGCCCACCAAGGCGACGAUGCAUAGCCGACCUGAGAGGGUGAUCGGCCACACUGGGACUGAGACACGGCCCAGACUCCUACGGGAGGCAGCAGUAGGGAAUCUUCCGCAAUGGACGAAAGUCUGACGGAGCAACGCCGCGUGAGCGAUGAAGGCCUUCGGGUCGUAAAGCUCUGUUGUUAGGGAAGAACAAGUACGAGAGUAACUGCUCGUACCUUGACGGUACCUAACCAGAAAGCCCCGGCUAACUACGUGCCAGCAGCCGCGGUAAUACGUAGGGGGCAAAGC